UACAGAGGGUGCAAGCGUUGUUCGGAAUUAUUGGGCGUAAAGCGCGUGUAGGCGGCUUUGCAAGUCGGGUGUGAAAGCCCUCAGCUUAACUGAGGAAGUGCGCCCGAAACUGCAGAGCUUGAGUACCGGAGAGGAUGGCGGAAUUCCCGAAGUAGAGGUGAAAUUCGUAGAUAUCGGGAGGAACACCGGUGGCGAAGGCGGCCAUCUGGACGGAUACUGACGCUGAGACGCGAAAGCGUGGGGAGCAAACAGG
Molecule: ribosomal RNA, 253 nt
Filed under: uncultured bacterium
Lineage: Bacteria
Description: partial 16S ribosomal RNA
Rfam family: Bacterial small subunit ribosomal RNA
Source: RNAcentral